GAAUCCUAAAGGGGUACUAGGCUAAAAUUCAAAGAGACAAAAGAUACUUGAAAGAAACUGCGGGAAUUGAAUUUACAAAAGAUUUCAUUCACUUCAACAACUCUAUAGCAACUGUUUUCUCUUCUCCUUUCUCUUUUCUUCUUUUUUUAUUUUUAUUUUUCAGAAGGAGUAUGUAUUGGCAUGUAUUGACAUCCUUCUAUGUUUUUCAUUCGUUUUUUUUCUUUUUUCUUUUCUAUUUUUCUUUUCUUUUUCUGCCAACUUC
Molecule: long non-coding RNA, 262 nt
Filed under: Lathyrus oleraceus (garden pea)
Lineage: Eukaryota; Viridiplantae; Streptophyta; Magnoliopsida; Fabales; Fabaceae
Description: Pisum sativum (pea) long non-coding RNA (PSAT_LNC034899)
Source: RNAcentral